Non-coding RNA from Rattus norvegicus (Norway rat), 10558 nucleotides. The record is from RefSeq and is a predicted model, not a curated record. Lineage: Eukaryota; Metazoa; Chordata; Mammalia; Rodentia; Muridae.
GAGAGAUUAUGCAGGAAACCUUGCUAGUACCACAUGGCUUCAGCUAGUGGGAAGGCUGGGGAGAGGUGUCAAACCUGACUCCUGCCUGGACUUCUGAGAAAAUGGUGGCAUCGUUGCUGGAGUCGGUGUCCAAAGGGAAGCAGAGUUGGGUCUGUGGACGAGGUGGAGUUCAAUUCUUCGUAUUUGCAGUGUGAGGCUAAGUGAAACACUCUGGAGGAAUUUCCAAUGUCUACCGUUAUGGAACAGCGACCCAUGUGACGGCAGACUACUAAAGGUAAGGCAUGGGCCUGAGCUUAGAGAUGAUGGCUGGGGUUGCAGGAAGGCUGAGCUUCCCCAGGGAAACCCAAGGAGUCAAGAACGCUCUGGACUGGUAUUUGCAUGUAGUGGUUGGACGCAGGCAGAUGCUCAAAGCAGUACUGUUCAAUCAAUACAUUUGCCCUUGGCCAUGUGGAGUCAUUUAUGUUUACAUCGUUAAAAUAAAGUAACUCAAUUGCCACCUGGAUAUGUUUCCAGCACUAAUGGUUGCAUGUGGUUAGUGGAUGCUCUGAGGAACAAGCAUUUUCACUGCCCAAGAUUUAAAAAAAAAAAAAAAUUCAAGUAUAACAAAAAUGGAGACUUUGAGAGAAAAAUCAGAAAGCAGAUGAGGUUUAGGGAGGAGAGUGUUCUCAGGAGGAAGUGUUUCAGUGUUGAAUGUUGAAACUGGUGUCAGGAAGACAAGUUCUGGAGACCUUGCAUAAGAAACAGUUCAACCGCUGAGGUACCUGUAUCAUCCAGUGGAGGAUUUAUACUCUGGGUUACAUGGAGAGUGAACACAGUGUCUCUGACACACUAGAUAAGUACUUGACCACUGAGACAACCAGCUGGCCUCUCUACCUUUCAUUUUGAGACAGUAUCACUGUGUAUGUAGCCCAGCAUGCCUUGAGUUUGAAUUCUACCUCAACCUGCUAAGUCCUGGGAUUACAAUGUGCUACCAACGGGGAAUUUUUUUAAAGCCAAGGGUCUUGUUCAUGUCUAGAAGCAAUGGACAGAGGUAUGUGAGCAUGGCAAAGGCUCCCAAGUCUGUGUACUGCCCCCUUCUUGUUUUAGCUAGACGUCCAAAUCCUUCCACCCAUGGGCCUGUGGGUGUCCUCUGGCACCCAGAGCCCGAAUGCCUUAACUGUCUCCCAGUUGCUCCCAGUCUCAUAGUCUUCCAUUUCACUCCAGUUUUCCAGUGACUAAGGCUGGAGCACUUAGUCAUAUGGCGUCACGGACUCUUCCUGGUCAGUCAGGACAUGCUUGUUCCAUUGUCUCUAUAGGUACUCGUUUGUUUAAAAGGUUAAAAAGUGAUUGCAUAGUAUUUCAGACAACACAAUAUGAAGUAUGGUGAUACCCUCCCUCCACCUAACUUAAUGAAAACUUGGACAUGUAAGCACAGCACUUAGGAAACACAUUUAAAUCUCAUUUUUCUCUCACAUUUAUUUAUUUAUUGUUUGUACUUUAUGCUAUAGCACAUGUCAUGGUAAGGUGAUGACUUGAGGGACGGUCCCUCCAUCAUGUGGAUUUCUGUGACGGAAGUGCUGUCAGAUUUGGCUACAAGCCCUCCUGAUCUGCUAAGACAUCUGGCUGGUCUUCGAUUUCCUCCUUACCCGUUUAAAACUUAGCAUCUUGAAGACUUACAGUGAGUUUCUUUAUUAGUAUCAUUUCUGGUUGCUGUGAUAUAACACCCUGACAAAGAGCAACUUAGAGGAGAAAUGUUUAUUUCAGUCCUUUCUAGGAGGGAACCCAAGGAAACAGGAACUUCAGUCACAUUGGACUUCAGGGCACAUCAAAUCCAUACACAAAGAGAAUGAAUGCUUGCAUGUUUACAACUCAGCCUAUUGUCUCUGCUCUUAUAUGGUCCAGGACCCAAAUAAAUCCAGGAAAUGGUGCCAUCCACAGUGGGCUAUGUCUUUCCACAUCAGUUAACUUAAUGAAGACAGUCCCUCAUAGACACAGGUCAGCCUGAUCCAGAUAACCCCUAGAGAAGAUGGUCUUCUCAGCUGAUUCUAGAUUGUGUUAAAUUGACAAUUAAGACUGACUCUAACAGUUAUUAUAUCCAUAUAUAGUCAUAACUUGCUAUGUUUUAAAACAUCCUUCUGUAACUAGUUUCUUCAUUCUGUAUUUUAAAAGUUCUACAUAUUCUGAACCAACUCAGCAUAGAUGAAGAAAAUUCAGAGCUCAAAUGCCCAACUACCCAGACAGUACUGACAUUUCCAGUUUGAUAUGGUAAGACUAAUUGCUGACCAUGAUUCCAUAUAAAGUUUCUAGCUAUUCAGUGAGGUACCUUAUAGACCUAGCUUGAUUUCCUCCUUUUCUUGGAGUUGUAGCUGAUGUUAUUACCAACUUUGUCCUAGUCUACUGGGGAAUAGGGUGAUCUGGUUUUGUUUCUUGGCCAGGAAUAGCUUGUGAAAUCUUGAGAGAAAACAUGACAAGAAACUGGGCCAAGUCUGGGGACAGGGGAAAACAGACCUUAUUGUUUUGAGAUUUAUUCAUGAUGUUCGAUACUUUUAAAUUUUCAUUUAAUGACUGUUUUGAAACAUGUUAAUCCAUUGUCAAUUAUACUGUAUUAGUUACUAUACGUGUGUAUUUAUCUAAAUACAGGUAUUAUGUUUUGCAUAUGAGUGCUUUGAGUGUAUCUGCACUAGUUAAGAAAAAGGUAUUCUUUCAAGAGACCAUUUUGCUUUUGGUCAUCUUAAGAUAGGCUGUAACAUUGACUCAACCCUGGUUGAAGUCUACUGAAUCUUACCUUAGUGGUGAGUGAUACUUUUGCUAAUAUGCAUUCCUUAAGAGCUUUGCCUCAAAAUAGUUUGAGUUAUCUGCUUUUUGGCCCAAAAGCAUUAUUCUUGCUUGCAUGCCACAAGAGAAAGAGAACAUGUGUCAUUGUCAGUAUUAAAAAAAUACCAGGAAAUAGUUGGGGGAGAAUUCCAGCACACAGGAGGCAGAGGCAGUGGCAGGUAGAUUUCCUGUGGUUCCAGGCUAGCCUGGUCUACAAAUCAAGUUUCAGGAUAAACAAGGCUACACAUGAAACCUUGUUUUUAAAAACAAACCAACCAACCACCCUCCCAAAAGUCCAAAAAGUCCUCUGAAACUGAGAUGCAUGCCCUCCCCACCCAGUGAUUUUUUUUUAAGGUAGCGCAUAUUAAGCUAGUUUAAAUGCUUCAAUUUGCACAACAUUAUACAAAACAUAAUUACAAUAAUUGGGUCGUUUAUUCUUGCUUGAGAUAGAUUUCUAAUAAAAGUAUUAAGGAAAGUGUUUCCUCCUCUUAAAUUCAACCUUUUUAAAGUAGAAGUAUCUAGAGGUAAUAGACAAUGUUCUCUUGUUUGCAGAACAUUUUUUUCUCCUGAAUGACUGCAAGACAUUAAGGAUGUGAAAGGAAGGAGUGUUAACCUAAAUCACUAAGUAAAGAAAAUGUACCUAAGCACUCCCAGGGGAAGGAUACUUGGGGUGAGAUUUACCAUUUUAAUAAAUGUUGGCAUUGUUGACUUAUUUUCUUAGGUUAAGAAGCAGGGAGUUUGUGUGUGCAGCAAACUAAUUUUAAAGGGUGGCUGUGCCUGACUGAAUAAAAUAUAACUAAGCUUGCUUUGAUAUCACUGGCCAGAAUUAAAACCUUUUUUCCUUAUGAAGAGACUUGAGACUUUUUGCUGUCAGUGACUGUCUUCAGGGUCCACAGAAGUAGAUGGUUGGUAACCAAGGGCUAAGGGUGGGGAGGAUGAGGUGGGAUGGGAAGGCGAUGUAUCCGAGUAUGCGACCAAGAGCUGAAUGUGUGUGAAAAAGUCCUCCUCCAGCCUCGGAGGGGGUGUCUCCCCCAAUACCAGCUCCCUCCCCCAGGGCUCAUGGGGCGGGUCCGGUUUGCUCAGUAGCAGCGGCAGCCUUGGGGCUGAGCGGUGGUGGCCUCCUGGCAGCGCUGGCAAGAACCAGCUUCGAGAGCCCAUGCCCUGGGGAGAUCCAGUCCAGGCGGCUGCCAGGAUGGAGGAAACGUCGAGUGGAGUCGGAGCCACCGGGGACGGACUUCCUCCCCAGUUCAGCUCCCCGACAGCUUGGCAAGGCCUGCACGAAGGGCCAACGAGUGGAAGAGGCUUGCGCCUCGGGCCUGGCAGCCGUAGCCGAGGAACGAGGCUGGCACACCGGGGUAACGCGCGAGCCGGGGCCGUUCUCAGGAACCUACGGCGCCACGGCCGCUCAUUGUCUCUCCCCUUCAACCCGGGGGCAAACAGGAAGCCCGCCGCCUGGCCAAGCGACGGACAGGCGUCCGGACCAAUGAACACAGCUGACGGAGAGCCCAGCGGCAAAUGAGCGCCGGGAAGAGGGGCGGAACUUCCGGGCGGGCUGUCACCCUCUUCCCCCCUUUUGGGCUGGAGGCUCCACCUUUUGUGUUUCCCGCACAGUCAAUCAAAAUAGGAAAAAAAAAAAUCCCCGGACCGCUCCGGCCGUGUCCGCCGCCGCUUCCCGCAUCCUCUCCCGCCGCCGCCGCCUUCGCUUCUCACCAUGUGUAAGGCGGCGGGGAGCCCCGCCUGAGGUGUCCUAAACACACUAUGACCGCUCCCGAAAAGCCCGUGAAACAAGAGGAAAUGGCUGCCUUGGACGUGGACAGCGGCGGCGGCGGCGGCGGCCACGGCGAGUAUCUGCAGCAACAGCAGCAGCAGCAGCAGCACGGAAACGGCGCGGCGGCGGCGGCGGCGGCCCAGGACACUCAGCCGUCACCGCUCGCUCUGCUGGCCGCUACCUGCAGCAAGAUAGGGCCGCCAUCGCCGGGCGACGACGAGGAGGAGGCGGCCGCCGCCGCCGGGGUCCCCGCCGCCGCCGCCGGAGCGACAGGUGAUUUGGCUUCUGCACAGUUAGGAGGAGCACCAAACCGAUGGGAGGUUUUGUCAGCUACACCUACGACUAUAAAAGAUGAAGCUGGUAAUCUAGUACAGAUUCCAGGUGCUGCUACUUCAAGUGGGCAGUAUGUCCUUCCCCUUCAGAAUUUGCAGAAUCAACAAAUAUUUUCAGUUGCACCAGGAUCAGAUUCAUCAAAUGGUACAGUGUCCAAUGUUCAAUAUCAAGUAAUACCACAGAUUCAGUCAACAGACGCUCAGCAGGUUCAGAUUGGCUUCACAGGCUCCUCAGAUAAUGGGGGUAUAAAUCAAGAAAGCAGCCAAAUUCAGAUCAUUCCUGGCUCUAAUCAAACCUUACUUGCCUCUGGAACACCUCCUGCUAAUAUCCAGAAUCUCAUACCACAGACUGGUCAAGUCCAGGUUCAGGGAGUUGCAAUUGGUGGCUCAUCAUUUCCUGGCCAAACUCAAGUAGUUGCUAAUGUGCCUCUUGGUCUGCCAGGAAAUAUUACCUUUGUACCAAUCAAUAGUGUCGAUCUAGAUUCUUUGGGACUCUCGGGAAGUUCUCAGACAAUGACUGCAGGCAUUAAUGCCGAUGGACAUUUGAUAAACACAGGACAAGCUAUGGAUAGUUCAGACAAUUCAGAAAGGACUGGUGAGCGGGUUUCUCCUGAUGUUAAUGAAACUAAUGCUGAUACAGAUUUAUUUGUGCCAACAUCCUCUUCAUCACAGUUGCCUGUUACAAUAGAUAGUACAGGUAUAUUACAGCAAAACACAAAUAGCUUGACUACUACUAGUGGGCAAGUCCAUUCUUCAGAUCUUCAGGGAAAUUAUAUCCAGUCGCCUGUUUCUGAAGAGACACAGGCUCAGAAUAUUCAGGUUUCUACAGCACAGCCUGUUGUACAACAUCUACAACUUCAAGAUUCUCAACAGCCAACCAGUCAAGCCCAAAUUGUGCAAGGUAUUACACCACAGACAAUCCAUGGCGUGCAAGCCAGUGGUCAAAAUAUAUCACAACAGGCUUUGCAAAACCUUCAGUUGCAGCUGAAUCCUGGAACUUUUUUAAUUCAGGCACAGACAGUGACCCCUUCUGGACAGAUAACCUGGCAAACAUUUCAAGUACAAGGGGUCCAGAACUUGCAGAAUUUGCAAAUACAGAAUACCGCUGCCCAACAAAUUACUUUGACGCCUGUUCAGACACUCACGCUUGGUCAAGUUGCAGCAGGUGGAGCCUUGACUUCAACUCCAGUUAGUCUAAGCACUGGUCAGUUGCCAAAUCUACAGACAGUUACAGUAAAUUCUAUAGAUUCUACUGGUAUACAGCUACACCCAGGAGAGAAUGCCGACAGUCCUGCAGAUAUUAGGAUCAAGGAAGAAGAGCCUGAUCCGGAAGAGUGGCAGCUCAGUGGUGAUUCUACACUGAAUACCAAUGACCUAACACACUUACGAGUACAAGUGGUAGAUGAAGAAGGGGACCAACAACAUCAAGAAGGAAAAAGACUUCGGAGGGUAGCUUGCACCUGUCCCAACUGUAAAGAAGGUGGUGGGAGGUAUGCAUACAUCAGCCAUGUGUUGUUGUUCUAAGGAGUGCUAAGAUCACCCCGAUUUUUAAAAUAUUGCAUGCCAUGUCAGUAUUUAAUGAUAAAUUAAUCAUUACAUCAUCAUUUUGGGAGUGUGACUGUAUGAGUGGUUGAAGUAAGGAAAAAAAGCGUACAAAUUUUAAAUUAAAUUUGCUUAGUCUUUAAAAGAAUAUAACAUGUAAUUUUAUAGACCCCAUUUUAUUAGCCUGUUUGCUAACCACCAAUGAGUUCAACCUAAAUACAAAGAAAAAAAUUAUAGCUUGAAAAGGUUAUAUAAAAGUAAGAAAUUCACAAUUAGUUGAUAAGUGUAAAUACUAUUUUCAACAGAAAUGGGGAUGAAAGGCCUUAAUAAUGAUGGGGAUUUAUUGUUCUGAAAGUAACCCAGUAGUAUUUUACCUCAUUCUUUUUUAAAAAGAUAUAUUUCCUAAGACAAAAACACUGAUAGGAAUGAGCUCAGAGUGGUUGGUAAUGUAGCUAUAAAUAAGCUUAUUAAGAGAUGGACUUAGAUCAUAAAAACUACAAACGCCAUCCUGAUCUUAUUAUAAGAAACAUUUCAAAUGAUUGAUACAGUGUUACUGAAAAUGAGAUGAAAAAGAUCAGUCAAAUGUUAGCAAAAACAAAAUGGAUAGCAAUGUUGGUAUCAAGGAAGAUGGGAUUAAGUUGGAAAGUAUUAGACAGGCAAGAUUAAAUGUCAUGACAACAAUGACAUUUCUGUUUAGAGUCAAUAGUCUUAGUAUCUUUGUCCAGUUUUGAUUAUAUGAAGCAAAGACAAAAUCAGAAAGUUGUGCUAACAAUCUCCAGUCGUUACUGUGAAAGGCUACAGUACCUUUCUCCUGCACUACUUUUAAGUAUGCAAAUGUGCCGAACAGUGUUACUGUGUACAAAUGCUCAUGGUUAUAAACUUGAUUAUUUUUCAGCUCUCUGGUUGAUCCUAUUGAUUGAUACAUACUUUGAUCAGUUUGUUUGCAAUAAUAAUAAUGACUAGGACAGAGAUCUCUCAGGCCCAAAAACCACAAAAAGGGGAGGGGACUGAUAGCCGCUGACAUUUGGAAACUUAAACUAUGUUCUUAUAAGUGGCACAGAUGUAUCACACAUAGGUGAAUUACUUAAAUGCACAUGUGUAGUCAGUGAGAUAGAAUUGCCACUAGUUUGAAGCCAGCCUGAGCUGUAGUGUAAGACCACGUCUCAAAAAUGGGAUGGAAAAAAACACCUAAAACAUCGUACAACUGGAUUUUUUACCCGUAUAUGUACUCCCAAUCUUAACCCUUACAUUUUGUUGCUAACUCAGAGGAUCUGCUUCUGAACCUGGCCUUUAGCUAUUUAUACUGAAUGUUGAAUUCUGGGUAGGCAGUGACUUCUGAAAUUCACACUCUCUUUUAGAGGCACUUUUCAGAUACAUUAUUCAUCAAAUCUAAUUGGGAUCAAUGUUUGGCCUUGCUUCAUUUUUUUAAAGUUAAACAUUUUAAUUAAUUCUAAUUAAUUUGCUAAACUAACAUAUCCUCAAAAUUCAGAUAACAAAACAAAAAAGCCCCACAAGUAAUAUACUACUUCAAGGUUUAACCACCAAAAUAUUUUUGUGCAAUAUUACAUAAAUUUUAAAGUAGAAUCACCUUAUUCUCAUUGUUUGUGUCUCGUAAUUUUUGUGGCCGUAUCUGAUCUGUGUCAUUUUUUAAUCUGUGUAUAGUAUUAUACUGUAUGUGGAUAAAUAAUUUAACUUUCUCCUUUGGGGUUUGUCAUAAUCCUCAUACAUAUGUCCUUGCACAUCUGUCUGAUUGUCUCAUUAGUGUAUGUUGACAGAAAAGAAUUGUUGGGUCAAAAGUAAUUGUCUGCUAAAUAGCUGUCCUGCUUUCUCUGUAACACUGCAGGGUCUUAGUUACCAUGUGUCACCAAUUCUUACUUUUCACUUAAAAGAAAACAAACUUUUAAAGUUUGAUAGGCAAGAAUAGCUCAUUUAUUUUAGUGUGUGCUUGUUUUAUUGGUGAGGUUAAACAUUUCUAGUACUUAAUUUUUAAACUUUAUUUUGUGAAUUGUCUGUCUUGUGGAACUGUUAAUUUAUGUGAACUUCUCAUGUAAAGUGUAUUUUCUCAGUUUUUCUCCAUUGCUCUGUCAGUGGUGUGCAGAAUGCAUUAUAUGAUGAGUAAAGGAGCUCACUUACAGAUAGUAGACAUUCUGAAACAACGAGACAAGCUACUGUUUAGAGUUGGCUACAGGUUGUUAUGCCAGAAAUUGUAGAAAGUAAAUCUUAUGUAUUUAUUUAUUUUUACUUCAUUGUGUUUGUAAGUACUAAUUCUAAGUAAUAAACAUUAAGAUUCUUAGGUAGUCGUUUCUUAGAGUUGAUUUGGACAGAGCUCAGUAAGGACUAAUGCACUAGGCCUGCUUGUAUAAAGAGAGCAUCUAAUGAUUCAAAGCAUUCACAUAGUCUAAGAACAUUCUGUAACUUAAGAUUUUUAUUUUAAAGACUAGAAUAUUGGCCUUUUCCCCCUUAACCAUUUAUUUAUAUAUAUGGUAAGAUAGUACUUUUAGAAAACUAAUACCAUCCAUCCUUAUAAAACUAUUUUGUUUUAUAGCAAGCUAUAAAAGGAAAUAUUUCAGGGACUGGAGAGAUGUCUCAGUAAUUAAAAACAUUGACUCUUUCCUGAGGACCCAGGUUUGUUAUCAACACCCAAAUGGCAGCUUACAAACAUGUAUAAAUGGAAUCCCAGGGUGUCCAAUACCCUUUUCUGGCCUCUGUGGUCACCGCAUGCUUGUAGUGUACAGACUUAUAUGCAGGAAAAGGACUCAUACAUAGAAAAUAAAAGGAUAGGUUUAAGUAAAAAAAUUAAAAUUGUUCAGUUAGCUAAUCUUUGUAUAUCAGAAGCAGUCUUUAGAGUCUAGUUGAAAAAACAGAUCUAAAGGCAUUAUUGUUACAUGGGUUUUGUAUGAAUUAAGCAUCAAUCCAUUAAAUUAUUUUGCAAAGUUUAUUUUGUCAGCAUUUUUCAGCUUGUGUUUCUGCCACCAUAAGCAAAACAGGCGGUAGUUCUUAAAACUUUCCUUAACUCUCCAGAAUUUGGAUUGAUUUUGUGUUGUCAUUGAAUUAUUGGGGCACAAAUUUAAGCAGUCAGAAACAGAAAUUUAAAAUUGUUUAUUACUUGGGAUGCCAUGGUUACAUAGUGGACAUUAACGUGUUCAGGAUGGAACACAACUGCUCUUGAAGACCCUCCCCUUCCUUCAUAGGAUAGGUAGGCCGUGAGCAUGCAACGGGCUGUCUAGGCCUUCCCUUGGGUCAGAUUUCCUUAAGUACUAACUUGAACAUCUGCAAGUUAAGUACUCACCUUAAAUUGUGGUACAGAAGUGUGCGACUGGAUUAUUUUUCCUAGAUGCAUGUUCCAUUUUUAAUGGCCAGUCUUCGUUUGGCAUACAAUGCAACAGAAAAAACAGGUUCCCUGCCAUUUUUCCCAGUCCUCUGAGACCCGUUUGUUGCUGUUCAUUUGUCAGCCUUGUGUUUUGUUGGUGCUCACAGGCUAAAUUCUGUUAAGUUUGGAAAUUACACCUUUGAGUUUAUAAAAUGACACUGUUUCACCCAAGUGGUAGCCUUAGCAGAGGGAUGUGAAGUCAUGAGUGAACUGAGUUGGGUUUCCUGUGAAAUUGCUAUGGUGAACGCAAUAUUUUACCAAUAAAGACAUUGUUCUUUCUCUUAGGUCUACUUAAGAGUAAAGCAAAGUUUAAAAAGCUAACUAACGGAAGGACUUGAGGAUUGAAAAUGAGCCAGAAAAAAACUGUUUUUCUCAACUCAGCUCUUAAAGAGACUUAGAAAUUGGGGGUGGACUGGAGCAGGAAGUAGAAUGUGUUAGAUUAUGACAUCCGUGCCCUUGAGACAACAGCGUGACUCCUCCUUGUCUUUACUUAUGCUAUUCCUCUGCCUGGAAUGCCUUCCCUCCUUUCUAUCUAAAUCCUACCCACCUCCUCCACGAAGCCUUCUCUAACUACUGGAGCCCACAUUGAUGUCUCCCUGUUCAGAACACCUAUGGCACCUAACAGCCAGCACUGCACCGUUUAGCACUGUUUGUCCUAUGGCAAUUUCACAUGCUCCUGAGUAGGUACCAAUCUUGGGAAAAAGAAGCAACACAUUUGUCAUAUACCAGGAUGUGGUAAAGUCUAUGGGAAAA